CCUACGGGUGGCAGCAGUGGGGAAUAUUGGGCAAUGGGCGCAAGCCUGACCCAGCAACGCCGCGUGAAGGAAGAAGGCUUUCGGGUUGUAAACUUCUUUUUAGAGGGAAGAGCAGAAGACGGUACCUCUUGAAUAAGCCACGGCUAACUACGUACCAGCAGCCGGGGUAAUACGUAGGUGGCAAGCGUUGUCCGGAUUUACUGGGUGUAAAGGGCGUUUAGCCGGGCUGACAAGUCAGAUGUGAAAUUCCGGGGCUAAACCCCGGACCGGAAUUUGAAACUGUUGGUUUUGAGUAUCGGGGAGGCGGCGGAAUUCCUAGUGUAGCGGUGAAAUGAGUAGAUAUUAGGAGGAACACCAGUGGCGAAGGCAGCCUGCUGGACGACAACUGACGGUGAGGCGCGAAAGCGUGGGGAGCAAACAGGAUUAGAUACCCUAGUAGUC
This 441-nucleotide ribosomal RNA is filed under the name uncultured bacterium. Its description in RNAcentral is "partial 16S ribosomal RNA". It matches the Rfam family "Bacterial small subunit ribosomal RNA", at positions 338 to 795 of the family's 1533-position model. The record is from RNAcentral.